AUACGUAGGGGGCGAGCGUUGUCCGGAAUGAUUGGGCGUAAAGGGCGCGUAGGCGGCCGCUUAAGUCUGGAGUGAAAGUCCUGUUUUCAAGAUGGGAAUUGCUUUGGAUACUGGGGGGCUUGAGUGCAGGAGAGGUUAUCGGAAUUCCCGGUGUAGCGGUGAAAUGCGUAGAGAUCGGGAGGAACACCAGUGGCGAAGGCGGGUAACUGGACUGCAACUGACGCUGAGGCGCGAAAGUGUGCGGAGCAAACAGGAUUAGAUACCCUGGUAGUCCACACUGUAAACGAUGAAUGCUAGGUGUAAGAGGUAUCGACCCCUUUUGUGCCGGAGUCAACACAAUAAGCAUUCCGCCUGGGGAGUACGGCCGCAAGGUUGAAACUCAAAUGAAUUGACGGGG
This 397-nucleotide ribosomal RNA is filed under the name uncultured bacterium. Its description in RNAcentral is "partial 16S ribosomal RNA". It matches the Rfam family "Bacterial small subunit ribosomal RNA", at positions 523 to 918 of the family's 1533-position model. The record is from RNAcentral.